This 489-nucleotide ribosomal RNA is filed under the name Melaloncha colossia. RNAcentral's name for it is "partial 16S ribosomal RNA". The record is from RNAcentral. Lineage: Eukaryota; Metazoa; Arthropoda; Insecta; Diptera; Phoridae.
GUUUAUCAAAAACAUGUCUUUUUGAAUUUAAUUUAAAGUCUAACCUGCCCACUGAAAUUUUAAAUGGCCGCAGUAUUUUAACUGUGCAAAGGUAGCAUAAUCAUUAGUCUUUUAAUUGAAGGCUGGAAUGAAUGGUUGAAUGAAAUAUUAACUGUUUCAUAUAAAUUUGUAAUAGAAUUUUAUUUUUUAGUCAAAAAGCUAAAAUUUUAUUAAAAGACGAGAAGACCCUAUAAAUCUUUAUAUUUAUUAUUAUAAUUAUUAUAUAGAAAAUUUAAAUUUUUAUAAUAAUAAAUAUUUUAUUGGGGUGAUAUUAAAAUUUAAUAAACUUUUAAUAAAUAUAUAACAAAAAUUAUUGAAUUAUUGAUCCAUAAAUAAUGAUUAAAAAAUUAAGUUACUUUAGGGAUAACAGCGUAAUUUUUUUAGAGAGUUCAUAUUGAUAAAAAAGUUUGCGACCUCGAUGUUGGAUUAAGAUAAAAUUUAGGUGAAGAA